RNAcentral lists this ribosomal RNA (995 nucleotides) under uncultured bacterium. RNAcentral describes it as "bacterial SSU rRNA". It matches the Rfam family "Bacterial small subunit ribosomal RNA", at positions 355 to 1375 of the family's 1533-position model. The record is from RNAcentral.
UGGGGAAUAUUGCACAAUGGGGGAAACCCUGAUGCAGCGACGCCGCGUGGAGGAAGAAGGUCUUCGGAUUGUAAACUCCUGUUGUUGAGGAAGAUAAUGACGGUACUCAACAAGGAAGUGACGGCUAACUACGUGCCAGCAGCCGCGGUAAAACGUAGGUCACAAGCGUUGUCCGGAAUUACUGGGUGUAAAGGGAGCGCAGGCGGGAGAACAAGUUGGAAGUGAAAUCCAUGGGCUCAACCCAUGAACUGCUUUCAAAACUGUUUUUCUUGAGUAGUGCAGAGGUAGGCGGAAUUCCCGGUGUAGCGGUGGAAUGCGUAGAUAUCGGGAGGAACACCAGUGGCGAAGGCGACCUACUGGGCACCAACUGACGCUGAGGCUCGAAAGCAUGGGUAGCAAACAGGAUUAGAUACCCUGGUAGUCCAUGCCGUAAACGAUGAUUACUAGGUGUUGGAGGAUUGACCCCUUCAGUGCCGCAGUUAACACAAUAAGUAAUCCACCUGGGGAGUACGACCGCAAGGUUGAAACUCAAAGGAAUUGACGGGGGCCCGCACAAGCAGUGGAGUAUGUGGUUUAAUUCGACGCAACGCGAAGAACCUUACCAAGUCUUGACAUCCUGCGACGGUGCUGGAAACAGAACUUUCCUUCGGGACGCAGAGACAGGUGGUGCAUGGUUGUCGUCAGCUCGUGUCGUGAGAUGUUGGGUUAAGUCCCGCAACGAGCGCAACCCUUAUGGUCAGUUACUACGCAAGAGGACUCUGGCCAGACUGCCGUUGACAAAACGGAGGAAGGUGGGGAUGACGUCAAAUCAUCAUGCCCUUUAUGACUUGGGCUACACACGUACUACAAUGGCGUUAAACAAAGAGAAGCAAGACCGCGAGGUGGAGCAAAACUCAGAAACAACGUCCCAGUUCGGACUGCAGGCUGCAACUCGCCUGCACGAAGUCGGAAUUGCUAGUAAUCGCAGAUCAGCAUGCUGCGGUGAAUACGUUCCC